GAUGAACGCUAGCUACAGGCUUAACACAUGCAAGUCGCGGGGCAGCAUGGGGGUUGCUUGCAAUCCCCGAUGGCGACCGGCGCACGGGUGAGUAACGCGUAUCCAACCUGCCCUUCACCACGGGAUAACCCGGCGAAAGUCGGACUAAUACCGUAUGUUGUCCAUUGACGGCAUCCGAUUUGGACGAAAGGUUUGGCGGUGAAGGAUGGGGAUGCGUCCGAUUAGCUGGACGGCGGGGUGACGGCCCACCGUGGCGGCGAUCGGUAGGGGUUCUGAGAGGAAGGUCCCCCACACUGGAACUGAGACACGGUCCAGACUCCUACGGGAGGCAGCAGUGAGGAAUAUUGGUCAAUGGGCGUAAGCCUGAACCAGCCAAGUAGCGUGCAGGAUGACGGCCCUAUGGGUUGUAAACUGCUUUUAUGCGGGGAUAAAGUGGCCCACGUGUGGGUUUUUGCAGGUACCGCAUGAAUAAGGACCGGCUAAUUCCGUG
RNAcentral lists this ribosomal RNA (490 nucleotides) under uncultured bacterium. RNAcentral describes it as "partial 16S ribosomal RNA". It matches the Rfam family "Bacterial small subunit ribosomal RNA", at positions 28 to 507 of the family's 1533-position model. The record is from RNAcentral.